Molecule: ribosomal RNA, 820 nt
Filed under: uncultured Parvimonas sp.
Lineage: Bacteria; Bacillati; Bacillota; Tissierellia; Tissierellales; Peptoniphilaceae
Description: bacterial SSU rRNA
Rfam family: Bacterial small subunit ribosomal RNA
Source: RNAcentral
GACGAACGCUGGCGGCGUGCUUAACACAUGCAAGUCGAACGUGAUUUUUGUGGAAAUUCUUUCGGGAAUGGAAAUGAAAUGAAAGUGGCGAACGGGUGAGUAACACGUGAGCAACCUACCUUACACAGGGGGAUAGCCGUUGGAAACGACGAUUAAUACCGCAUGAGACCACAGAAUCGCAUGAUAUAGGGGUCAAAGAUUUAUCGGUGUAAGAAGGGCUCGCGUCUGAUUAGCUAGUUGGAAGGGUAAAGGCCUACCAAGGCGACGAUCAGUAGCCGGUCUGAGAGGAUGAACGGCCACAUUGGAACUGAGACACGGUCCAAACUCCUACGGGAGGCAGCAGUGGGGAAUAUUGCACAAUGGGGGGAACCCUGAUGCAGCGACGCCGCGUGAGCGAAGAAGGUUUUCGAAUCGUAAAGCUCUGUCCUAUGAGAAGAUAAUGACGGUAUCAUAGGAGGAAGCCCCGGCUAAAUACGUGCCAGCAGCCGCGGUAAUACGUAUGGGGCGAGCGUUGUCCGGAAUUAUUGGGCGUAAAGGGUACGUAGGCGGUUUUUUAAGUCAGGUGUGAAAGCGUGAGGCUUAACCUCAUUAAGCACUUGAAACUGGAAGACUUGAGUGAAGGAGAGGAAAGUGGAAUUCCUAGUGUAGCGGUGAAAUGCGUAGAUAUUAGGAGGAAUACCGGUGGCGAAGGCGACUUUCUGGACUUUUACUGACGCUCCGGUACCAAAGCGUGGGGAGCAACAGGAUGAAUACCCUGGUAGUCCAAGGGGCGAUUUUACAUUGGAUUUUAGCUUAUCCAUCCGACCACCUCGAGGGGGGG